RNAcentral lists this ribosomal RNA (1312 nucleotides) under Nocardiopsis alkaliphila. Its description in RNAcentral is "bacterial SSU rRNA". It matches the Rfam family "Bacterial small subunit ribosomal RNA", at positions 23 to 1338 of the family's 1533-position model. Lineage: Bacteria; Bacillati; Actinomycetota; Actinomycetes; Streptosporangiales; Nocardiopsidaceae. The record is from RNAcentral.
CUCAGGACGAACGCUGGCGGCGUGCUUAACACAUGCAAGUCGAGCGGUAAGGCCCUUCGGGGUACACGAGCGGCGAACGGGUGAGUAACACGUGAGCAACCUGCCCCUGACUCCGGGAUAAGCGGUGGAAACGCCGUCUAAUACCGGAUACGACCCUCCUCCGCAUGGUGGGGGGUGGAAAGUUUUUCGGUCGGGGAUGGGCUCGCGGCCUAUCAGCUUGUUGGUGGGGUAACGGCCUACCAAGGCGAUUACGGGUAGCCGGCCUGAGAGGGCGACCGGCCACACUGGGACUGAGACACGGCCCAGACUCCUGCGGGAGGCAGCAGUGGGGAAUAUUGCGCAAUGGGCGAAAGCCUGACGCAGCGACGCCGCGUGGGGGAUGACGGCCUUCGGGUUGUAAACCUCUUUUACCACUCACGCAGGCCCCACGUUUUCGUGGGGUUGACGGUAGGUGGGGAAUAAGGACCGGCUAACUACGUGCCAGCAGCCGCGGUAAUACGUAGGGUCCGAGCGUUGUCCGGAAUUAUUGGGCGUAAAGAGCUCGUAGGCGGCGUGUCGCGUCUGCUGUGAAAGACCGGGGCUUAACCCCGGUUCUGCAGUGGAUACGGGCAUGCUAGAGGUAGGUAGGGGAGACUGGAAUUCCUGGUGUAGCGGUGAAAUGCGCAGAUAUCAGGAGGAACACCGGUGGCGAAGGCGGGUCUCUGGGCCUUACCUGACGCUGAGGAGCGAAAGCAUGGGGAGCGAACAGGAUUAGAUACCCUGGUAGUCCAUGCCGUAAACGUUGGGCGCUAGGUGUGGGGACUUUCCACGGUUUCCGCGCCGUAGCUAACGCAUUAAGCGCCCCGCCUGGGGAGUACGGCCGCAAGGCUAAAACUCAAAGGAAUUGACGGGGGCCCGCACAAGCGGCGGAGCAUGUUGCUUAAUUCGACGCAACGCGAAGAACCUUACCAAGGUUUGACAUCACCCGUGGACCUGUAGAGAUACAGGGUCAUUUGGUUGGCGGGUGACAGGUGGUGCAUGGCUGUCGUCAGCUCGUGUCGUGAGAUGUUGGGUUAAGUCCCGCAACGAGCGCAACCCUUGUUCCAUGUUGCCAGCACGUAGUGGUGGGGACUCAUGGGAGACUGCCGGGGUCAACUCGGAGGAAGGUGGGGACGACGUCAAGUCAUCAUGCCCCUUAUGUCUUGGGCUGCAAACAUGCUACAAUGGCCGGUACAAUGGGCGUGCGAUACCGUGAGGUGGAGCGAAUCCCUAAAAGCCGGUCUCAGUUCGGAUUGGGGUCUGCAACUCGACCCCAUGAAGGUGGAGUCGCUAG